This 234-nucleotide long non-coding RNA is filed under the name Mustela putorius furo (domestic ferret). RNAcentral's name for it is "lncRNA (ENSMPUG00000028364.1)". The record is from RNAcentral. Lineage: Eukaryota; Metazoa; Chordata; Mammalia; Carnivora; Mustelidae.
UUUAGAGAGGAGUGGUAAUCAGUUUGUUCUCUUCUGGUGGAGAACCUCUCAAGAUGAUCUCAAAUGAGCUACAUCAUUGCUUAUGCAUCCUACAGAGAUAAUCACCAAAGAGUGAAUUUUGGCUGAUAGACACUGAUGCCUGGAAGACCAAUCAAAAUGAAGAGCCAGAGUCAAGAUCCUGAUUCCCUUCCUGCCAUCACGUCCAAAGUAGCCUUUUUCAUGCAUCCAGCCUAG